AAGUCGUAACAAGGUUUCCGUAGGUGAACCUGCGGAAGGAUCAUUAACACAAUUUUACUGUGAUAAAAUCCGUUGAAUUCUCACGAAUUCAAUGGUAUCCACCCCAUUAUUGACGAACUUUUCUUAGAUGUUUCAAAAAAACAUAGAGCUUUAUCUCUUUACGUUUUUUGAAAACAUUCUAAAAACCUUUUUCUUUACCCUAUAACAUUUUUUAACCCCUUUUACAACAUGUCUUAGACUGAAAUGAAAAUUUUCUAUCAAAAAAUUGACAAAAACAACUUUUAACAACGGAUAUCUUGGCUCUC
RNAcentral lists this unclassified non-coding RNA (305 nucleotides) under fungal sp. Its description in RNAcentral is "partial internal transcribed spacer region". The stretch from base 1 to 46 matches the Rfam family "Eukaryotic small subunit ribosomal RNA", at positions 1786 to 1831 of the family's 1831-position model. The record is from RNAcentral. Lineage: Eukaryota; Fungi.